RNAcentral lists this long non-coding RNA (2370 nucleotides) under Coturnix japonica (Japanese quail). RNAcentral describes it as "lncRNA (ENSCJPG00005009410.1)". Lineage: Eukaryota; Metazoa; Chordata; Aves; Galliformes; Phasianidae. The record is from RNAcentral.
UCCAGAGUUCACAGGUGAUUUAUUCUUGAGAAGGAGCAACAUGGAUGAAGUAUACCACAUCUCUUCCACUGAGAAGGUCCAGCAGCUGGAAAGAGAACUAGCAGCACAGCUGGCAGAGCUGAAGGCACAAAUAGAAGACAAUGGGGUACUUCAGGGAACACCAAACAGGGCAUACAGUUCUGUUCCAAUUCCAAAAGAUGCAAUUUAUUUCAGAAGAGAAAGAGAGAGAGUACUGAAGAAAGUCUUACAGGUAGGUAGCUACAGUUUACACUAGCUUAAGAAAAUCACUUUGCUCUUAGGAUCAUAGAACAGAUUGAAUUGGAAGGGACCUUUAAAGGCUGUAUAGUCCAACUCCACUGCAAUGAACAGGGACACCCAUAGCUAGAUCAGAGUGCUCAGAGCCCCAUCCAGCCUGGCACUGAAUAUAGCAAAAGAUGGGGUGUCUUUGCACCUCACCAGGCAACCAGUUCCAGUGCUUCACCACCCUUACUGUAAAAAACUUCCUUAUAUCCGACCUAAAUCUCCCUUCUUUUAGUUUGAAACCAUUUCCCUUGACUUCUCUUUAUUUAACGCUAUUUCUUUCCAACGGCCUGAAAAGGAUGUCUGCUCACCACCCGCUGUUUGCAGGUGGCGGAAGCGAAGCCUCUUGUUAUUCAGGCUGAUGUCAUGCAGAGGGAGUUAGAGAGCUGCUGGAGAAGGGAGUACACGGCAUCAAGCUUGCCGCUGCUGCUGCAUCAGUUUUUUACAGACAGAAUCACUCAGCUGGUCCAGAGUAAAUAUCUGCACAUGCUCAGAUGGAAGAGAUUUUGUACACACAGCAGUGUUAUUGAGCAGCUUUAUCCUCUCUACCAGAAGCAAGUUAGUCACAUCAUGGAUGAAUACAACGAUGCAGUUCAGAGGGCUUCAAGGCUUUCAGCUGCAAGGGAGAACUUCCUGACAGGAAAGAAAAAUCCAAUGAGUUUAGUGACACAGGAAGAUCUGAUGAUUUACACCCAAUGGUUAGUGUGCCACCUACACUCUCUGAAGGGCAUUCACCGUUUUCUCCAGGUUCUCCAGCAUUUGCCCAUUUCUCACAAACUGAGCAUGGCUGAUGAGAAAUGUCCUGAUGUGAUCCAAGACAAAUGGGACAAGUUAAGGAGUGCAUUUGACAGAAAUUCAGAUGUUUUUAAUACUGAUGUGUUUCACUGUUCAAAAUUUUUAAGAAAUGAAUCUUGCCACAAGGACACUGGAUUCACUCUGCCCUGUCACAGCACUGGAACAAAGGAGCUGAAAGCCCAGCUCCAGCUUCUGCUGGCUCAUUUUGAUAUUGACUACAAUCUUAAAGAUCUCAAGGACCCAGCUGAUGAGAUGGAGCUCUUUUCUUUGGUUGUCAAAAAAUUUAGGAGCAUUUUCUGCAAACAGCAGACAAUGAGAACAUUUCCAGUUUAUGGCACAGAGAUUUCUCGAUCAGAGAACUGGGGCAUGUUGGAUCCAACCAGAGCUUUGAAGAAGAGAGCCAACUGGAUCCCUUUUAUAAAGAUUAAGCCUAAAGUAGAUCCCUGGCAGCAAAAGCUUUUGAUAAAAAUGAAACAAUGGAAAAAAGUGGACAAGAUGCUGGACUUUCAUUCAAAAUUUGUAGAGGUGUCAGACGUGGAGAGGGUGAUGGAGGGUCUCCAGGAUCAUGCAGCAGCUGUGCUCAAACCGCAUCCUCUGAGGUCAGAUUCUGCCGCUUGUUCUCAUGCCUCAGGACAGCAGAACUACGAUCACAUCUGGAAGGAAGUCUACGCCUUCACUGAGCGUCACCAGAGACCUGUUCUCACACCUGCAUGGAGGCAAGUUCCUCUUCUCAACAGGGAAGUGGAAUUAGUGGGCAUGGCCUUAAGAAGCUCCAGUUGCUGCAAGAACAGAAACUUCGAGAGAUCUUAAGUUUCAGAGAGAGGAAACAAAAACCAACCAAGAGGCUUGACAGAGUAGUGAAGGAGAAGUAGGACUGACCUACCUCUCUGGUAUCUGGGGAAUUUGUAGCAUUGCAUACACGGCAUGCUCAAGCUCUGUGACUGGUCUGCUGAACCUGAAAGUAUUCUUUUGAUGAAGAUGGAUUUUGAUUACCUAUUUCUUUAUCACCCUCCUUAUUCAGGUGUCAUUCACAGCUGCUGCUUAAGGAACAUAAAACAGGUCUCAGCUACUGGACCUGGGUGCAGCCCCAGUGUCACAGGGGGUGUCCCUCAAUCCUGCUGAGGGCCAGGCUCAGGCAGGGCUGUGAGUGAUACAAGAGCAGGGGAAAUGCAGCAGAGGCAGGAAGGUACUUCUUUGUAUUUUUCUCCUGCUGAUCAAUAUGCUUCAAGACUGAUCCCAACUCAGUUUAAAAAUAAACCCAUAUAUUUUUUGUCA